GAUGAACGCUGGCGGCGUGCCUAAUACAUGCAAGUCGAGCGAACAGACGAGGAGCUUGCUCCUUCGACGUUAGCGGCGGACGGGUGAGUCACACGUAGGUAACCUACUUAUAAGACUGGGAUCUCUUCGGGAAACCGGAUCUUACACCGGAUAAUAUUUCGAACCGCAUGGUUCGAUAGUGAAAGAUGGCUUUGCUAUCACUUAUAGAUGGAUCUGCGCCGUAUUAGCUCGUUGGGAAGGUAACGGGUUACCAAGGCAACUAUAGGUAGCCGACGGCAGCGGCGGAUCGCCGGCACGAGAGCGGAGACAGGCACCAGGCGCCUGCGGUAGGCAGCAGUAGGCAACCUGCCGCAGUGGGCGAAAGCCUGACGGAGCAACGCGGCGUGUGUGAUGGAGAUCUUCGGAGCGGAAAACUCUGUUAUGAGGGAUAAACAAACGUGUAAGUAACUGUACACGUCGUGACGGUACCUAAUCAGAAAGCCACGGCUAACUACGUG
RNAcentral lists this ribosomal RNA (497 nucleotides) under uncultured bacterium. RNAcentral describes it as "partial 16S ribosomal RNA". It matches the Rfam family "Bacterial small subunit ribosomal RNA", at positions 28 to 507 of the family's 1533-position model. The record is from RNAcentral.